AAUAAUCAACACAUACUGUUAUAUCUAGUUCUGAGACGUUUCCAUUUUUAUUGAGAUUGACAUAACGUUCUAGAAGUAAACAGCUUGAUACUUUUUGGAAUUGUUCUUUGCAGCCUCCCUCUUUCCCAUUAUGGUGUUCCUUCUUCAAUGUGUAAGAGCAUUAUGUAAGAAUCCUCAAGAUUUCAGAGGUAACUAUCAUCAUAUACACUUCAAACACUGUUAUGGCCUACCUAAUGUAACUAUCCUACAAAAUCUUAAUAUCAUUGUAAUCUAAGCUGGGAUAUAUAAAUAUGAAAAAAUUGUCUAUAAGAAGAAGAAGCAUAAUAAAAGAUUUUG
RNAcentral lists this long non-coding RNA (336 nucleotides) under Capsella grandiflora. Its description in RNAcentral is "long non-coding RNA (CGRA_LNC001151)". Lineage: Eukaryota; Viridiplantae; Streptophyta; Magnoliopsida; Brassicales; Brassicaceae. The record is from RNAcentral.